CGGUAAUAAGCAGAACUCGUAGUGCGAGAUGAUAGGUUACAAUUAAAUUUAUUCGUGCUGUGAAUUUUCUUCGUUUAUGCUAGUCUGACAACGAUUAGCUUCUUUAACCUACCCUUUCUAGUUAGUGCGUGGUUGUGGAUUCCAUUUCGAAACAUCUGUGACUGGGGAAUAUCGAAACAACGGAGGGAUUAGGUGUGGCGAGCAAUUGCGACAAACGACUGCGUUGUAAGGUAAG
Long non-coding RNA from Photinus pyralis (common eastern firefly), 235 nucleotides. RefSeq lists it as uncharacterized. NCBI's taxonomy places the organism in Eukaryota, Metazoa, Arthropoda, Insecta, Coleoptera, Lampyridae. The transcript has 4 exons. The record is from RefSeq and is a predicted model, not a curated record.